AGCAGUAGCCGCGGUAAUACGUAGGUGGCAAGCGUUGUCCGGAAUUAUUGGGCGUAAAGGGCUCGCAGGCGGUUUCUUAAGUCUGAUGUGAAAGCCCCCGGCUCAACCGGGGAGGGUCAUUGGAAACUGGGAAACUUGAGUGCAGAAGAGGAGAGUGGAAUUCCACGUGUAGCGGUGAAAUGCGUAGAGAUGUGGAGGAACACCAGUGGCGAAGGCGACUCUCUGGUCUGUAACUGACGCUGAGGAGCGAAAGCGUGGGGAGCAAACAGGAUUAGAUACCCCAGUAGUCCCUGUCUCUUAUAC
This 303-nucleotide ribosomal RNA is filed under the name uncultured bacterium. Its description in RNAcentral is "partial 16S ribosomal RNA". It matches the Rfam family "Bacterial small subunit ribosomal RNA", at positions 507 to 807 of the family's 1533-position model. The record is from RNAcentral.